GGGACAACAUAUUACUCCUUCAAUACCUCAAUGAAGAGGAACGCAAUCACCCCCCUGAUUGGAGAACGAAGACUUACAUACAACAUUUCGAUGCUAGUUCCCAAAACUCAUCAUUUACUACCUGCAAGAUUAGCAUGGAAAACAACAAUGAAGCGGAUCUUUUAGCUAGAUAGGCUCUGGCUUAUAGUUUAGACAUCUCUCAGCCUUUCUAGGCUUUCUGCUCCUGUACUUCAGGCUCUGAAUAAUGUUACCCUAACCUCUGUAAGGUUACUCACAGCUUCUUGCGGUUAAUAAAUGAAUUCCGUUUUUGUAAAAAAAGGAUCUAUUUUUUUCUCUAUAUUCAAUAUCUUAUACUAAUUUUUUUUGUGUAAUUUUUUUUGAAAACUAUCAUAUCAACUUGUUCGUUUAAGCUUAUCAGCCGAAUUAGCCAGUUAUUUAGCAAUAUUUUUCUCUCACAACAAAUCAGCCAACGAUACUUUCUGCUACGGUUUAUUAGCCAAACGAACAAGGCAGAUCUGUGCUCUCCUAUCCAUAGGGGUUAAAUGUGUGGUGUGUAUGAAAAAUUGAAAAGCUUGUAAUUGCAUUUUCGAGCUCCAUUUCCGGUGUUGUCGGUCUGGUCAAAAGUGCAGGCACAUUUCAGGCCUGGUUUAGUUCACCUCAAAACUAUUUUUUUUUUAAGAUUUCCUGUCAUAUAGAAUCUUGCGGCAUAUGCAUGGAGCAUUAAAUAUAGAUAAAAACAAAAACUAAUUGUAUAGUUUACCUGUAAAUCACGAGAUGAAUCUUUUGAGUCUAGUUAGUCCAUAAUCGAAUAAUAUUUAUCAAAUAAAAAUAAAAAUAAAUGCUAUAGUAUCAAAAUCUAAAAUAUUUUCGGAACUAAACAAGGCCUCCGCCGCAAAGGUUGCUGUGAAGUUGCAGACUGACAAAAAUUGCCUGCUCCCAGUCCUAUCCAAAAGCCGCAAUUGCAGGUGUCGUUUUUCUCUUUUGGCUUAUCUGAGGGGAACAUACGGAACAACCUUUGGUUAGGCCUUGUUUAGUUUCAAAAAAUUUUGCAAAACAGGUACUGUAGCACUUUCGUUUGUUUGUGAAAAAUAUUAUCCAAUCAUGGAUUAACUAGGCCUAAAAAAUCCGUCCCAUCAAUUCCGACCAAACUAUGCAAUUAGUUUUUAUUUUCGUCUAUAUUUAAUAUUUCAUGCAUGCGUCUAAAGAUUCGAUGUGACAGGGAAUCUGAAAAAUUCCGCAAAAUUUUUUAGGAACUAAACAAGGCCUUAGUACUCCGUCAAGAGAAGGAUUGUAUUAUUAUUUUGUUACAGGGUGUUGCGACUACAUAC
This 1328-nucleotide long non-coding RNA is filed under the name Sorghum bicolor (sorghum). RNAcentral describes it as "long non-coding RNA (SBIC_LNC015599)". Lineage: Eukaryota; Viridiplantae; Streptophyta; Magnoliopsida; Poales; Poaceae. The record is from RNAcentral.